GCCUGGGUGGCUCAGUUGGUUAAGCAUCCGACUUCAACUCGGAACAUGAUCUCAUAGUUCAUGAGUUCGAGCCCUGUGUCAGGCU
Molecule: transfer RNA, 85 nt
Filed under: Felis catus (domestic cat)
Lineage: Eukaryota; Metazoa; Chordata; Mammalia; Carnivora; Felidae
Rfam family: tRNA
About the family: Transfer RNA (tRNA) molecules are approximately 80 nucleotides in length. Their secondary structure includes four short double-helical elements and three loops (D, anti-codon, and T loops). Further hydrogen bonds mediate the characteristic L-shaped molecular structure. tRNAs have two regions of fundamental functional importance: the anti-codon, which is responsible for specific mRNA codon recognition, and the 3' end, to which the tRNAs corresponding amino acid is attached (by aminoacyl-tRNA synthetases). tRNAs cope with the degeneracy of the genetic code in two manners: having more than one tRNA (with a specific anti-codon) for a particular amino acid; and 'wobble' base-pairing, i.e. permitting non-standard base-pairing at the 3rd anti-codon position.
Source: Rfam by way of RNAcentral